This is an RNA transcript of Trachymyrmex septentrionalis, 474 nucleotides long. RefSeq lists it as uncharacterized. NCBI's taxonomy places the organism in Eukaryota, Metazoa, Arthropoda, Insecta, Hymenoptera, Formicidae. The record is from RefSeq and is a predicted model, not a curated record. The transcript has 2 exons.
CGUCUGUUGACGUUGACAGAGAUUUCUCUCUGCUUUGACGCAUGGUGUAUUAAUGUAUUACUUAUUGUUAAAUACCUUUUCUUCAUCAUGCUCUGACGUUCAUACGUUGACGUCGUAGGAGCUAGGAGCUGAUAUUGGAGUGAAAAACAUCACAUAGAAUACAUUAUUUGCUGUUAUUUGAAUACAAUCCUACAUACGGUUCCUAACCUGAACGUAAUAAUUCAUUUUCGAGUAAUAAUUCGCUUCGAGUGAAAGUGGACAGAGGAAAAAAAAGAGUUUGAGACGUUUGCAUAUUCAUUGAGAAAAACUGGUAAUUAACAUUAUUUAAUCGUAUUGAAAGAGCUUAAAAUUAAAAGUCUGUGUCAUUAAUUUAAUCCUUGGUACACAUGAUUUCUUUUGUCAUUCGUGCAUUUCUUUUCUUUGAAAUGUUGGGAGCAUUUGGAUGAAUAAUGGAUUCUAUUCUUUUCUUUUUUU